This 445-nucleotide ribosomal RNA is filed under the name uncultured bacterium. RNAcentral's name for it is "partial 16S ribosomal RNA". It matches the Rfam family "Bacterial small subunit ribosomal RNA", at positions 354 to 796 of the family's 1533-position model. The record is from RNAcentral.
GUGAGGAAUAUUGCGCAAUGGAGGCAACUCUGACGCAGCCAUGCCGCGUGCAGGAAGAAGGCGCUACGCGUUGUAAACUGCUUUUAACCGGGAAGAAACCCCAGGACGUGUCCUGGGUUGACGGUACCGGAGGAAUAAGCACCGGCUAACUUCGUGCCAGCAGCCGCGGUAAUACGAAGGGUGCAAGCGUUAUCCGGAUUCAUUGGGUUUAAAGGGUGCGUAGGCGGAGCGUUAAGUCAGUGGUGAAAUCCUGCAGCUUAACUGUAGACUUGCCAUUGGUACUGGCGCUCUUGAGUGCGCUUGAAGUGGGCGGAAUGUGCCGUGUAGCGGUGAAAUGCUUAGAUAUGGCACAGAACACCAAUUGCGAAGGCAGCUCACUAAGGCGAUACUGACGCUGAGGCACGAAAGCGUGGGGAUCGAACAGGAUUAGAAACCCCAGUAGUCC